This 253-nucleotide ribosomal RNA is filed under the name uncultured bacterium. Its description in RNAcentral is "partial 16S ribosomal RNA". It matches the Rfam family "Bacterial small subunit ribosomal RNA", at positions 524 to 776 of the family's 1533-position model. The record is from RNAcentral.
UACGUAGGGGGCAAGCGUUGUCCGGAUUUACUGGGCGUAAAGAGCGUGUAGGCGGCCAAGCAGGUCCGUUGUGAAAACUGGAGGCUCAACCUCCAGACGUCGACGGAAACCGUGUGGCUAGAGUCCGGAAGAGGAGAGUGGAAUUCCUGGUGUAGCGGUGAAAUGCGCAGAUAUCAGGAAGAACACCAAUGGCGAAGGCAGCUCUCUGGGACGGUACUGACGCUGAGACGCGAAAGCGUGGGGAGCGAACAGG